GCAAAAGGUUAAUGUGUUCAGCUGUUAACUGAAAGGCUGGAGGUUCAAACCCACC
RNAcentral lists this transfer RNA (55 nucleotides) under Loxodonta africana (African savanna elephant). It matches the Rfam family "tRNA", at positions 10 to 63 of the family's 71-position model. From Rfam's summary of the family: Transfer RNA (tRNA) molecules are approximately 80 nucleotides in length. Their secondary structure includes four short double-helical elements and three loops (D, anti-codon, and T loops). Lineage: Eukaryota; Metazoa; Chordata; Mammalia; Proboscidea; Elephantidae. The record is from Rfam by way of RNAcentral.